AAAAUACAUCAAAUUUUAUUAGUUAAAACAUUAAAUCUAUGAUGCAUUCUUCAAUAGUAGCAAAAUGUGAUUCCAGCAGUUAAUGUAAAUCCUAGUAACAAACAUGGGAUUCUGGUUACUUUGAUUAAACUUCUUAUGCUCGGCCGGCCAGGCACGUGCUCUUCUGUCAGAAGAAGGGCACCUGCAGUGCAAUAAGGAUGAGUGACAUCAUAGUUCAUCAUCCUCUGCCCUUUCCACGUGCUCUCUAAUUCAGACUAUAUUUAAUUUUAAAAGGCAGAGUCUUUCUUCUUCAGGAGCUUGGAGAGAAAUAAUCCUCACCUAAUGAAGUGAGUGAGCCCUUCCAUCCUUUGAUUCUU
RNAcentral lists this non-coding RNA (356 nucleotides) under Pan troglodytes (chimpanzee). Lineage: Eukaryota; Metazoa; Chordata; Mammalia; Primates; Hominidae. The record is from RNAcentral.